Delphinapterus leucas (beluga whale) is the source of this 1447-nucleotide non-coding RNA. Lineage: Eukaryota; Metazoa; Chordata; Mammalia; Artiodactyla; Monodontidae. The record is from RefSeq and is a predicted model, not a curated record.
CGAACGCCGCGCUUCCUUUCACGUCCUCGCGGGACCCACGCGGAGCAGGAGGCAGCAGCACCCGGGCCUCCCGGGCAGCCGAGCAGCGCCCGCGGGGUUGACCGUGAACGCCACCGGAGUCAGGGCGCGUCUCCCGCGGCGUCUGAGAGCCCCGCCGGGUCUCAAGGGACCACCUCGCCUCCCGUCUCCUCCUUCUUUCCCAGCCGGCACCUCUUGCCUCUGGCUGCUCCGGGGAUGGAGUCGCAGGGCCUGAGAGAUGCGGCCUAAAAUGCCGCAGGCGGCCGCCUGACUCCUCCCGGUGAGGGCCUAGGCCUUCCGUCCAGCUCGCGAACCACGCCCCGCCCCACGGAGUCCAGGACAGAACAUUCACCGCCAGGAGAAGAAACCCAGGUGAAGAACCUAAGGUCCAGAAAGGUACUAGCAGCAAUAGUGGGCUUUGAAAUGUACAAGUCUCUUGAAUAUCCAUUAGCUGGCAGAAGUGCUAAAUCCAUGCUGAUGAACCAGCGAAUGAGUUCCAGUGACUACUCGAAACAGACCUAUAAGAGACCCAGUUAGGUGAUUUCUGUUAAUACCAUCAACUGUGACCUAGAACGCUAAAAGAAGAUGAGCUGACCAGGAAUUUGGAUGAAGGGAUUUAAUGGAGCUGAGUGGUACAACAUUCCUUUUGAGAAGCAUUUGCCUGCACCUUGAAUCAAUCCUCCAAGAUUAAAUGCGUUUAAGUAACAAUCAGAUAUUUUCCCACCAGCUUGCAAUACAGCUUACUUCCCCUGCUCCAUCCCGGUAUUUCUAAGGUCAGUAAGACAACGUCAGAGGCCUAUAUCUGGUAAUUGUCAAUUAUGUUUUGUUUCCCUGCUGGGCCCUUUCAACGCUAGAGUUACUGCAGGAUUGGUCAUUCAUUCAUUGAUUCAACAUUUUUUGUCCUCUUCCUGUGUGUGAGGCACUGUGCUAGGUGCUAUAAACCAGGUGCUGUGGAUACAGAGUUUAAAAAGAUCUCUGCUCUCAUGGAACUUAAAUUCUAUUGGGGGAAGGCAAAUCAUAAGAUCAAAUAAAUACUUUUAAAUACUAUGAAAAAAAAUAAAACAAAGAGCUAGUGAUUGGAUAAGAGGCUGCUUUAGAUAGGGAAGUUCAGGAAUGGCAUUAUCUGAGGAGGCAACAUUUGAGCAGAGACCUGAAGAAGAAGGAGCCAGUCAUAUGAGCAUCUGGGGAAAUAUAAAAACUUAAUUUGGUGACAAGAGCAGUAGUAUGUACUUGGUUAAGAGGCAGCACUGAUGUAAGGAACUAGUUACUAGAUAAGGAUGGAUGGAGAGCUUGCAGUUAAUGUGGGUUUAAAGCAUAAACUACAUUCAAACAACUGUUUCCAUUCCCUUAGGGAAAAUAGGGAGUAGUGAAGCAAAAAACAACACCCCUUCUCCUAUUCUUGGUCACAGAAUUUCUAGGUAGACAUAUA